ACCGGAGCUAAUACCGGAUAGUUCCUUGAACCGCAUGGUUCAAGGAUGAAAGACGGUUUCGGCUGUCACUUACAGAUGGACCCGCGGCGCAUUAGCUAGUUGGUGGGGUAAUGGCUCACCAAGGCGACGAUGCGUAGCCGACCUGAGAGGGUGAUCGGCCACACUGGGACUGAGACACGGCCCAGACUCCUACGGGAGGCAGCAGUAGGGAAUCUUCCGCAAUGGACGAAAGUCUGACGGAGCAACGCCGCGUGAGUGAUGAAGGUUUUCGGAUCGUAAAGCUCUGUUGUUAGGGAAGAACAAGUGCGAGAGUAACUGCUCGCACCUUGACGGUACCUAACCAGAAAGCCACGGCUAACUACGUGCCAGCAGCCGCGGUAAUACGUAGGUGGCAAGCGUUGUCCGGAAUUAUUGGGCGUAAAGGGCUCGCAGGCGGUUUCUUAAGUCUGAUGUGAAAGCCCCCGGCUCAACCGGGGAGGGUCAUUGGAAACUGGGAAACUUGAGUGCAGAAGAGGAGAGUGGAAUUCCACGUGUAGCGGUGAAAUGCGUAGAGAUGUNGGAGGAACACCAGUGGCGAAGGCGACUCUCUGGUCUGUAACUGACGCUGAGGAGCGAAAGCGUGGGGAGCGAACAGGAUUAGAUACCCUGGUAGUCCACGCCGUAAACGAUGAGUGCUAAGUGUUAGGGGGUUUCCGCCCCUUAGUGCUGCAGCUAACGCAUUAAGCACUCCGCCUGGGGAGUACGGUCGCAAGNACUGAAACUCAAAGGAAUUGACGGGGGCCCGCACAAGCGGUGGAGCAUGUGGUUUAAUUCGAAGCAACGCGAAGAACCUUACCAGGUCUUGACAUCCUCUGACAACCCUAGAGAUAGGGCUUUCCCUUCGGGGACAGAGUGACAGGUGGUGCAUGGUUGUCGUCAGCUCGUGUCGUGAGAUGUUGGGUUAAGUCCCGCAACGAGCGCAACCCUUGAUCUUAGUUGCCAGCAUUUAGUUGGGCACUCUAAGGUGACUGCCGGUGACAAACCGGAGGAAGGUGGGGAUGACGUCAAAUCAUCAUGCCCCUUAUGACCUGGGCUACACACGUGCUACAAUGGACAGAACAAAGGGCUGCAAGACCGCAAGGUUUAGCCAAUCCCAUAAAUCUGUUCUCAGUUCGGAUCGCAGUCUGCAACUCGACUGCGUGAAGCUGGAAUCGCUAGUAAUCGCGGAUCAGCAUGCCGCGGUGAAUACG
Molecule: ribosomal RNA, 1229 nt
Filed under: uncultured Bacillus sp.
Lineage: Bacteria; Bacillati; Bacillota; Bacilli; Caryophanales; Bacillaceae
Description: bacterial SSU rRNA
Rfam family: Bacterial small subunit ribosomal RNA
Source: RNAcentral